AUAAGUAAGAGCUUGGACGUGGCUCUGGAUGAACGGUAUCUAGUGGCGUCACACAUGCGAGUCCAAUGACCAGUUGGUCAUGGCGUACGGGUGAGUAGAGGAAGGAACCUGCCUUCAGCUUCGGUUUAAUGCCGUAAAAGGAAAGCUUUUCGACUGAAGAUGGGCCUUUAUUGGAAUAGAUAGUUGGUGGAGGUAACGGCCUACCAAGUCGAUGAACCAUAGCUGGCCUGAAAGGGUAAUCAGUCACAGUGGCACUGAAACAAGGGCCACCCGACCGAGGGUCGGCAGCAGUGGGGAAUAUUGGACAAUGAGGGCAACCUUGAUCCAGCCAACUAGAUGGGAGAUUCCUAUUAAGGUUCUAUCCCUAAGGUAGAGGAGCAUGAUGAGAUCUCUCUGCUAUCAGUCCCGACCAAACCUCGUGCCAGCAGUCGCGGUAAUACGAGGGGGGUUUCCGUUAUCCGUCAUAAAUGGGCCUAAAGAGUCUCUAGGCAGCCCGGUAAGCUUGAGAAAAUUGGAUGAAGAGAUCUGCAGUAAAGCCGGGGUGGUAAACCACCCGCUGGCUUAACCCAGCCCUCUGAUUCCAAGAGAACUGCCGAAGCUUGAGUGUAAUGCGGGGAUAGGUAACUCCUGGUGUAGGGAUAGAAUCCGUUGAUACCUGGAGGAGCGCUAGGGCGAAGGCCCUAUCCUGAGUAACCACUGACGCUGAGAUACGAUAGUGUGGGGAGCGAAGAGGAUUAGAUACCCUCCUAGUCCACACCUUAAACGAUGGAGGCUAUAGGAAGGGAACGGGGGGUCUCACCCUAGUAGCGAAGGCAUUAAGCUUCCCGCCUGGGGAGUAAGAAGGCAACUUUGAAACCCAAACGUCUAGACGGCCCUGAAGACCAGCAGUGAAGCAUGUUGUUUAAUACGAUACCCCGCGUACUACCUCACCUCUCCUUGAAUGGUGCAUUGUCAUCACAGGUGCUGCAUGGCUGUCUUUAGUUCGUGUUGUGAAAUUUGAGGUUUAGUCCGCUAACGAACGAAACCCCGCCUGAUAAUUCAGAGAACACGAGCUGCCUAUUACCUUGGUUUACUAAAUCUACGAUUCAUUCGGAAAAAAGGGGGAAACCAUCUUAACUUAAUCCCCUGAGAUUUCACACGGGUGUCGGUGUUAAGGAGGCUUGUUACGAGACGCUCAACCAUAUGAUAAUCCAAACUAAAAAGGGUAUUUACAUACGAGCAGGUUCGUUGGAAAGCUUCAGGGGGCCUUAUUGACAAAACCCUGCCAAUUACGUGCUAAUUAGUUAGUUUUCCUCAUGCUGCUACCAACUACCAGCUACCAACCAUACCAAGCAAAGUAUGCCGUGUAUCCCGAGUGCCGCUUUAGUUCAGCUAUCUAAUUAUGCUAGCUAGCACCAGAAGGGAACAUAGUGACUUCAGGGAUAAUAACUUGCUAUGGGUUAUAAGAUAGCUACGUAAGCAUAAGCAUAGGGAAGGAAAGAUGAAAGAGGUAGGUCACCCAUUAAGCUAAGGUAACAGGUUGAUCCGUGUAUUAUCAGGGUAUGAUGCAAUGAGCGUCGGUAAUAGGGACAACGACAAGCCCUCAUGGCCCUUAUGGAGUGGGCAAUAGUAACGUGCCACAAAUACUCAUUCAAUGGGAGGCAAUGGUGUGAGCCGGAGCUAAGCCUUAACCCAAGUAAGUGUACGAACUGUGCUCUGUAACUCGAGCACACGAAGCAGGAAUUGCUAGUAAUCGUGAAUCAGCACGCCACGGUGAAACUUCUCUUCGAGGAGCACUGACUGUCCAUCAGGCGGGGAAAGUUGGUUCUAUCCGAAGACGGUUUAAACUUACUAGCUAUUUGAGCUAUGUUUUUAUAGUUGGUAAUCAUUUAAAUUGUUUAGGUGGCAUCGGCGAUUCCUGUUAAGUUGUAGCAAGGUCACGGUUCGUGAACGAGUCGUGGAACGUAUCAAACG
Molecule: ribosomal RNA, 1953 nt
Filed under: Gigaspora margarita
Lineage: Eukaryota; Fungi; Glomeromycota; Glomeromycetes; Diversisporales; Gigasporaceae
Description: small ribosomal RNA subunit
Rfam family: Bacterial small subunit ribosomal RNA
Source: RNAcentral